RNAcentral lists this ribosomal RNA (241 nucleotides) under uncultured bacterium. RNAcentral's name for it is "partial 16S ribosomal RNA". It matches the Rfam family "Bacterial small subunit ribosomal RNA", at positions 796 to 1041 of the family's 1533-position model. RNAcentral also lists the same sequence under 1 other name. The record is from RNAcentral.
CACGCCCUAAACGAUGAUCACUCGAUGUGUGCGAUAAACUGUACGCGUCCAAGCGAAAGCAUUAAGUGAUCCACCUGGGGAGUACGACCGCAAGGUUGAAACUCAAAGGAAUUGACGGGGGCCCGCACAAGCGGAGGAGCAUGUGGUUUAAUUCGAUGAUACGCGAGGAACCUUACCAGGGCUUGAAAGUUAGAGAAGGAUGUGGAAACAUGUCCGCCCGCAAGGGCUCGAAACUAGGUGC